AUACGGAGGGUGCAAGCGUUGUGCGGAUUUAUUGGGUUUAAAGGGUGUGUAGGCGGUGUAUUAAGUCAGUGGUGAAAGCCUGCGGCUCAACCGUAGAACUGCCAUUGAUACUGACACACUUGAGUAUGGACGAGGUAGGCGGAAUUUAUGGUGUAGCGGUGAAAUGCAUAGAUACCAUAAAGAACACCGAUAGCGAAGGCAGCUUACUAGGCCAUAACUGACGCUGAGGCACGAAAGCGUGGGGAGCGAACAGGAUUAGAAACCCCGGUAGUCC
RNAcentral lists this ribosomal RNA (274 nucleotides) under uncultured bacterium. RNAcentral describes it as "partial 16S ribosomal RNA". It matches the Rfam family "Bacterial small subunit ribosomal RNA", at positions 523 to 796 of the family's 1533-position model. The record is from RNAcentral.